This 484-nucleotide ribosomal RNA is filed under the name uncultured bacterium. RNAcentral describes it as "partial 16S ribosomal RNA". It matches the Rfam family "Bacterial small subunit ribosomal RNA", at positions 30 to 507 of the family's 1533-position model. The record is from RNAcentral.
AUCGAACGCUGGCGGCAGGCCUAACACAUGCAAGUCGAGCGGAUGAAGGGAGCUUGCUCCUGGAUUCAGCGGCGGACGGGUGAGUAAUGCCUAGGAAUCUGCCUGGUAGUGGGGGAUAACGUCCGGAAACGGGCGCUAAUACCGCAUACGUCCUGAGGGAGAAAGUGGGGGAUCUUCGGACCUCACGCUAUCAGAUGAGCCUAGGUCGGAUUAGCUAGUUGGUGGGGUAAAGGCCUACCAAGGCGACGAUCCGUAACUGGUCUGAGAGGAUGAUCAGUCACACUGGAACGGAGACACGGUCCAGACUCCUACGGGAGGCAGCAGUGGGGAAUAUUGGACAAUGGGCGAAAGCCUGAUACAGCCAUGCCGCGUGUGUGAAGAAGGUCUUCGGAUUGUAAAGCACUUUAAGUUGGGAGGAAGGGCAGUAAGUUAAUACCUUGCUGUUUUGACGUUACCAACAGAAUAAGCACCGGCUAACUUCGUG